This 425-nucleotide ribosomal RNA is filed under the name uncultured microorganism. RNAcentral's name for it is "bacterial SSU rRNA". It matches the Rfam family "Archaeal small subunit ribosomal RNA", at positions 330 to 718 of the family's 1478-position model. The record is from RNAcentral.
GCGCACCAGGCGCGAAAACUCCGCAAUGCUCGAAAGAGUGACGGGGGAUUCCAAGUGCCUACGCUUAGCGUAGGCUGUUCAGAUGCCUAAAAAGCAUCUGGAGUAAGGGCUGGGUAAGACGGGUGCCAUCUGCAGUGGUAAUGAAGAACUUGCUGCUGCAAGGCAUAAGCCGCCGCGAUAAUACCCGCAGCCCGAGUGGUAGUCGAUUUUAUUGGGCCUAAAGCGUCCGUAUCCGGUCUGAUAAAUGCUUGGGUAAAUCGUCUGGCUUAACCAGACGAAUUCCGGGUAGACUGGUCAGACUUGGGACCGGUUGAGGAAGAGGGUACUUCAGGGGUAGAGUGAAAUCCUGUAAUCCUUGAAGGACCACCAGUGGCGAAGGCGCUCUUCUAGGACGGGUCCGACGGUGAGGGACGAAAGCCAGGGGA